GUCUAACCAUCCAAGAUUCACCACAUUUUGCCGCGUUGGGCACUCGACUUUCGAUGCGACCCGGGAAUGAAACUGUGAACCCGCUCGGCUAAAUCGAUCAGUCAUCAUAUGAAGUCGAUCUAGGCUUUUUUUUUAAUAAAGAUCUAGGCUUUUUUAUGGUGUUUCCUCUCGAUUCCCCUCGUUCCACUUCCGCCGCCCGCCCAAGUGCCCCCGUGCCCCGUCACAUCAUGAGCCCCGAUCCACGAGUGUCGCCGUUUCCUGUCCUUCUCGCCCUUCGCGUCUCAAAUCGGAGAAAACCUAGGCCAUACGCCGAUCAGUGCUAGCAGGGGCAGGGAGAUGGUGAUGAUUGGUUUUGGUCCUUGGCGCCGUCGAGCACGCGGUGCUAACAGAUUGUGGUGGCGCGGUAUUUUGCCCAUUGUAAGUUCACUUCAUCGAUCAUCGACUAAACCAAUUUAUAUAUUUUAUUUAUAGAUUUGUGUAUGGAUCUUUACUCUUUAAGUACUAAAAUCAAUGAGUAUUUUGAACUUUGACAUUCGACUACUGCUCUAGUUUGUAUCUAGGGUAGUCAAUUUGUAUUGGCGUGGCCCAGCUAUUGUUUUUCGCACGUCCUCUGACUGCCGAACGCAACCUCCAUGGCCAAUCCUGACAUUUGCCGUGGGCCCUGUGCAGAGUUAAAAUAGUGGCCCUUUAUUUGCACAACAUUACCGAUUAUGUGUUCUUACUAUAAAAUAAAUAUAUAUGCAAUGCAUCACAAACCCCAAAUUACUCGUUGAUAGUAGAAUAUUUUUUAGAAAGCAAAACACAAAACCAAAGUUUGAAAGGAUCACUGCAACAUGUUUGAAUAUUGUGCAACAUAGGAUUGUUCUUUCAAAUGAAUAAUAUGUGCACCUUAAACAUAUGAGUUUUCAAUGCUACUCGGAAGAAAUUUGCAUGUUCGAGUUCCUUGCACUACAUUUUAAUCGGCCUCAGUUGAAGUGAUAGAGAACUGCAAAUGUGAACUAGAAUACCAGCAGGGUAAGGAGCGGCUUUUUUUUGGUGGCGGGCAGGCUUGUUUUUACUUCAAGCCAUUUUUUUAGGUAUUCUUCAAGCAAUUGACUUGCAAAACGAUGUGCAACGCCAUUGUUUCUAAUUGCCCUCACUCUAGAGACUUUGUUUACCAACAUCCAAUAUUUGUAAAGAAAAAAGGUUGAACCGUACCUCACUCCAGUGACUCCAUGAUGGAACACAUCCCUUCUCUCCCCUAGAGACGCUAUUUACCGAACAUGGAAUGCUUGUAAAGAACAAGGAACAUGAAAGUAGUAGUAUGUUUGUUUGUUUGUGUUAGGUCCCCACAUGCAAGUAAAAGUGUAUUUGUUUAUUUAUGUCCCUUAGACGGUUGCUAGUCCCACAAGUGAAUCUGAGUUCAUUUGUUUAUUUGUGGGUCUUACAAAGUUAUUAGUCCCGCAUAUGAGUGAUAGUGGAGGAAGAGAAGUGAACUCACCAUUAACUCCAACCUUUAUAAGUAGGAAAGAUAAAGUGCCUAGUCUUUAUUGGAUCCUCCAUCGCAUAUUCACAUCCACCCCUAGAACUUGGCACAAACACAUGCACGAAGUGAUCAGGGACGAGUGGUGAUUUCAAGAGUGCCCACAAAAUCACACACAUUCACUAGAUCGUAAACGAUAUUAAAAUGCAUUUGUCCAUCAAGAUUGCCUCAAGAACAAAGGAUGGUCCGCAUAAGGUGCGCACUGGACAAGUGCUCUGUGAAGGCCAUGACAGCGAAUUGUGGGUAGGCAUAGCUUCCUCGGAGAAAUCAAUGACACCUCACCAACCAUGUGGAAGGAAAUUGGACCCGACACACCAAAAUUGACUCUUUAAUAUAUUCUUAAAUAUGGUGCAUCCUCUUUUGUAACUACCAUGACAAUGAAAAGAUGAAGAUCUGCAAUUGAUGUUAUCCUGCAGAGAAAUGCCGUCUGAGCACACUAUUAUAGAUUAUAUCUUGGAAAUACCACAUAAGAAUAUUGUGAUCCAGCACAUACCACAUACUAGUGUCAUUUCUUGUACUCCAUCCGUACUAAAGUUGUACCAAAGCUGCGACAAUUAAUUUGGAUAGGAGGGAGUAGCAAAUUUUGCAGUUUUAAUUAAGUGGUACACAUACUGUAAAGUUUGUCUGUUAAUCCCAAAAGAAAUACAUAUGUUUUGCUAAGACUCUAAACCAUGGUGAUUUCAUACAAUAAUCUAACUGAACUGAUCUUUAUUCUACCUAUCCCGUUUUGGCCAAAAGACUCCCCAUGGCUAUUUUGUACAACCAUGUGUCCAUGUUUCAACAGGAUGUCACCUCUUCCUUCUGCGCCACCAAGGACCAUCAUAGCAUGGCUUGCUGACCGGUUGCUCAAAGGAUUAAGAACAGGCAGUGUUGGGUCGAAUUCGUACACAUCACCAGGCUUAUAGUUCUGGAAGUUCUGAGAUAUUGGAACAGUUACGACCAAUGCAUUGCCCUUUCUUGGCUGUUGAGACGCAAUCUCAAGAGAACUUUCCCUGUGCUCAGUGUCAUGGCGGUCAUAAAUUCGCCUAUAUCUGGAUAUCUUAUACACCUGAAAGGAUAUGUUGUGGAACUCCACUGUAUUGGUUAAAACAAGAACAGUUCUCCUUAUUUAAUGAGAAAUUCGAAAUUAUAAACUAAAAGGUAUAUAAUGUCAUAUUCGGCAAAUAACCAUGAACAGUAACUUGCUGAAGGCCAAUUCAACAAAUGUGGCAUCUAAACUACGUUUGCCAAAUAAAGUCAAUGAUAGAAAAACCGUGUAACCCUGUUUGCCACUGAAAUAUCCAGAGUACAGUUCAACAAAUAUUGCAAUAUGACUUUAAGAUUAAGAAUAAAAUCCACAGAAAUUCUGCAUAAUACCUUAUUAUUUGACUCAGAUACAGCCCCUUCUGUUUGAAGAAUACCAAAUACAUUCUCCAAUCGUUUCCUUCCUCUACCAUCUAUUUCUUUCCCAAUUCCAAUGUGCCUUUUGUUGUAUUCUUUUAACACUUUGUCUUUUGAUAAAUUAGCAUUGAAAUCUUCUGACAUAAAGAGUGCUGCUGAUAUGUAAUUGAUGUGAAAUUCCAUUGUUGCUAAACUCGAAUGUAUGGUACAGUGAUCUGCAUGACACAACAGUUAGAUGAGUGGGUUUUUAGUUAAUAAAACAUGAAACAGAAAGUUCUGGAGUUUUUUGCACUUACUUUCACCUCCCUGGUCACGCACUGGAGGAGGAAUGGACUUCUGAUGAUAUGGCCGGCCAACCCAGGUAACCUCAUAAGCUGGUACUUUGACCUGAAUUUUUUGCAUUGUUAAACUGAACUUUAGAUCAUCACAAAUAUGGUUUGGCGACAAGAACAACUUUGCUCGCAUGUUUUUUUUUUCGAGAAAACGCAAACGACUUUUGCGUUUCCUUUCAUUGCAUUGAACUUUGCUCACAUGUUACCACAUAAUUAGAUAUAUAUUUGUAUCUUCCAUCUACCCAUGUAUUUUUCUUAGUUUACGUACCUUCCAUGUAUUUUUCUUAGUUUACGUUCCUUCGAGCUUUAAUAAGCCAGUUAAAAUCAUCUUCCUAUGGAAGUGUAACCCGGUUGAACUUUUCAUCAUGUUUAUACUGAUAAUGAAUUUUCUUUUUUGCAGGGAUACUUUUGGUUCCCUUUCAUGUGUAAUCUACGAACUAGCAAUUGGGAGCUAGCAAUUUCAACCUGAUGUUAUUGAAGAAUCUGUGCCGGGUAUUGAAAUCAAAAGUAACUGCAACCAACGCGUACUGAUGCAUUCCUCAAAGAAAAAUGUACUCAUGCAAUGAACCCAGCUAAGUGUAUGUAACACAGUUAGAUGUUUUCUUUCAUACUGGUAAUACUUUUUUUUGCAGAGAUACUGUUGAUACCUUGAAUUUUUUUAUCUACAACUAGCAUUUGGAAUAUAUCACUUUCAUAUUCCUGCUGGUACGGAAGAAUCAAAAUAGCCGAGGUAUUGAAUCAAAAGUAACUUCAAAGACAACUUGUGCAAUAACCAUGUUGUGAACCACAUUGACACCUAGCUCUUUUUAACAAAUAGUUAGAACUUACAUUUGAACUAGUAAGCCCAUGAGUAGAACUCGGAUUAUCCCAAGUGCUAAGAUGUCCAUAUUCGUCGGUGAUAGCAGACUGUCCCGGGUAACGUGGGAAGAUCUCUUGGAAACAACCACGGUCUUUAGCAUCCUCCAUCAGUUUUUUCCAUAUCAUGUUUUCUGCAAGUUCGGUCGCAUCACCAACAAUCCAAAGGUAGUGCCUAGAUAAGAGACAUUUAUUGUUAUAUUUACUGAAAUGAACUGUUGAUGAAAUAUAUUUAACUAAAAUGGAUGUUACAUACCUUGCUCUUGUAAUCAUAUAAUUAAUGUACUUGCCAUUGUUUGGCACUUCAUGGGCUGCAAUGAUUAAGAUGUCAUAAUUCUUGUUUUGGAAUGUAUCAGCUGAUUGAACGGUCAGAUUAAAUUGACUAUGAUGUCCCAGUACUUUAAGCUCUGGCGUAGAACAUAUCACUCCGACUUCCGGCUCCAACUCUCGACCCCCUUUUAUCCAAUCUGCAACAAAGUGGUGAAUGAGCUAGAUCAAAUUUGCCAUAGAGGUCAACAACAUAAAUUAGGGUCAAUUUUAUAUUCCAUAAAAAAUACCUUCAUUAAUGUAAGUGAUCAAAAGUAAUAAGGCAUCAAGAGUUUUCUCAGUGUUCACGUUGAAAAAUAUGUAGCUCUGCAAUCUCAGCUUUAGGAUCGUAUUGGUGUAGGCCAUGGCAUUUGAAAUUUGCCCUCCAUAGAAAUAUCUGUUAGGAAAAGAAGAAAUAGAUGGAUGCAUUCUUUCUUGUGUUCUGAGCAAAUAUCUGCUGGAUCCCAAUAAAAUGAAUCUCGAGAAAAGACUUCUCCCAAAACCAGAUUCUCCAUUCAUCUAGCAAGACAAAAGGGCAUACAGAAGUCACUACAUGUAAUAGCAAUGUGAAAUACAAACAUGGUUCAAGAGUUUGCUUGUAAAAUGACAUGUGAUACCUCGCUCUUAGUUGGUGAGCAUAGUUGUGCAUCAUCUCCUAUCAGUGAUAUGUGUCGAAUUGACGGAAGUGAAAAUGCAGCAACUACCUCACAUUCUUUUAUUUGGGCUGCCCCUAUUACAAUUAGCAUUCUGAUUUUGUCAUUAGACACAUAAUGCAAGCCAUGUGCAUCGGAAGGUGUGGAUAAGAGAAUUUUGGAUUCCUCAAUCAGAUAUCUUCUCAUCCACUCAACAUUCUUCGUAUGGGGGAAAUUAAGAACUCUUUUGACAUAUUCCAACUGCUCAACACAUUUGUCUUUAGAGCGACGGAUUUCCUUCACAUUUGCAGACAUUGGCUGGCGAUGCUUGUUUCUAGAUUUAACUGUGGAAAAUUUAACUCGAGAAGAUGUGAUGGAAGCACAUUCAAAUGCGAUCUUCACAUCAUUUUCAGUGACAGCCUCUAUUGAUAAAAGGUUGUUGAACGUUGCUAGAGCAUCAAAAAGAGCUGCUAGCCCUUUUGCUACUCGUUGAGAAGAAACGUCACUUGGUGAGUGCAACCAUAUUGUGUCCAGCAACUUGAUCAGUACAUCUGAUUUGUACUUGAAUACUUUUUUCAAUAAUGCCAAAGCCGAUAGGUUCUUCUUAUCUGCUUCUGCUGUCACUUUUGUGUACAUCUCUCUGAAUUCCUUCUCUAAGAGGGAGAUCAAGCCGUCAAUUUUACUCUUCCACACCAUGCAUGGCAUAAUCUCCUGGAGCCUCCACUCUAGACAGAAUUGUUUGGCAUUGUCAUUCUUUACUUCUAACAAAUCACAUAAUAAAACUACAUCCCCAAACUUUGGGUCAGCUCCAUCAUAUCUUCCUGAUUUCCUUAUAAGGUCAUCCAGGCAACAGCAUAAUGAUGAGAAAUCUGAGUAAGUGGAAGCACAAACCAGGGUUUUUGUUUGUAAACCUUGCAAAGCUGCCAUGACUGUUGCUAUGGUCUUACUCUUUCCUGUUCCUGGCAGGCCCCAGAUGAUAUUUAUGCUCUCUCGAUGAUCGCAUUCUGCAUUAGAAGCAAUGCUCAGUGCAAGAUUGGCCUGUCCUUCAUUGAGAUAGCGAUCAAACCGGAAAUCAAGUGACUUUGAUUCCUUAUCGGCAUCGCAGCUACCACAAGUGCUUUUUCCCUGUUAUGAAAAAGGCAAGCAGAUGCAUUAGCUAUGUCAUGGAUAAAAACUACAGUGAAUAUACAGAAGAUUAGUCUUUUAAGAACAUACACUGAGGGACAGAGGCAAUGUCGAUAUUUGUUUAAUGAUGGUGUUUUCACCAAUGCCCAAAUGUAAUGUCCUCCACAUGCACAGGCUAUCCUUGAGAUUGCAAAGGAAUAUUGCAAAUUUGCACUUGCCAGAGUUUACAUUAGCACAGACUUUAGCUUCGAAACUUUUGAUGAAGUAUCCAUCAGGUGUGGCAUUAGCUGCUAUAACAAACACUCCACAAUCAUCAUUUAGCUGCAAGUCUUUUGGUUCUUGAUCAGCAUUGCGAGUAAUGUGAUGUGAUGACCACCUUGUUCAAAACAUGUGUUGAUGUCCAGGUAUGCAUAAGAGGUAUUCACAUGCAUUUCUUUUGAAGAAGAAUCACCCACAUGCACUGGUAAGAUGCCAAGAAGCUUGUAAUACUCGGAUGUGCUGAUGGAUUUCAGACUAGACUUUAUUUCUGAUCGUACUUCUUCUAUCAAGGGCUUCUUGAAGCUUGUCAAAUAUUGUUCACUUGAAUGGAAUGUUGUAGGGAUCUUCUCAACCUGCAUGUCAAGUAACAGUAAUAUUGUAAAUCUGCUGGUGUUGUUUCUGUCUGUAAGCUGAAAAAAAGUGCUUCUUUUGGCUACUUUGUUUUUGGGCCCAAUUUAUGAUUUCUUUGAUUGAGUUGUAGCAAUAUUUUGAAUGAAUGAUAAGAAAAAUGCCAUUUUGAAUUA
Long non-coding RNA from Triticum aestivum (bread wheat), 6934 nucleotides. RefSeq lists it as uncharacterized. Lineage: Eukaryota; Viridiplantae; Streptophyta; Magnoliopsida; Poales; Poaceae. The record is from RefSeq and is a predicted model, not a curated record. The transcript is spliced from 2 exons.